RNAcentral lists this ribosomal RNA (564 nucleotides) under uncultured bacterium. RNAcentral describes it as "bacterial SSU rRNA". It matches the Rfam family "Bacterial small subunit ribosomal RNA", at positions 338 to 916 of the family's 1533-position model. The record is from RNAcentral.
CCUACGGGAGGCAGCAGUGGGGAAUCUUGCGCAAUGGGCGAAAGCCUGACGCAGCCAUGCCGCGUGAAUGAUGAAGGUCUUAGGAUUGUAAAAAUUCUUUCACCGGGGACGAUAAUGACGGUACCCGGAGAAGAAGCCCCGGCUAACUUCGUGCCAGCAGCCGCGGUAAUACGAAGGGGGGCUAGCGUUGCUCGGAAUUACUGGGCGUAAAGGGAGCGUAGGCGGAUAGUUUAGUCAGAGGUGAAAGCCCAGGGCUCAACCUUGGAAUUGCCUUUGAUACUGGCUAUCUUGAGUAUGGGAGAGGUUAGCGGAACUCCGAGUGUAGAGGUGAAAUUCGUAGAUAUUCGGAAGAACACCAGUGGCGAAGGCGGCUAACUGGCCCAUUACUGACGCUGAGGCUCGAAAGCGUGGGGAGCAAACAGGAUUAGAUACCCUGGUAGUCCACGCCGUAAACGAUGAGUGCUAGUUGUCGGCAUGCAUGCAUGUCGGUGACGCAGCUAACGCAUUAAGCACUCCGCCUGGGGAGUACGGUCGCAAGAUUAAAACUCAAAAUGAAAUUGACGG